RNAcentral lists this ribosomal RNA (432 nucleotides) under uncultured bacterium. Its description in RNAcentral is "partial 16S ribosomal RNA". It matches the Rfam family "Bacterial small subunit ribosomal RNA", at positions 29 to 506 of the family's 1533-position model. The record is from RNAcentral.
AACGAACGCUGGCGGCAUGCCUAACACAUGCAAGUCGAACGAGACCUUCGGGUCUAGUGGCGCACGGGUGCGUAACGCGUGGGAACCUGCCCUUAGGUUCGGAAUAACUCCCCGAAAGGGGUGCUAAUACCGGAUAAUGUCUUCGGACCAAAGAUUUAUCGCCUUUGGAUGGGCCCGCGUUGGAUUAGCUAGUUGGUAGGGUAAAAGCCUACCAAGGCGACGAUCCAUAGCUGGUCUGAGAGGAUGAUCAGCCACACUGGGACUGAGACACGGCCCAGAUUCCUGAGGAGGGGAGCAGGGGGGAAAAUGGGACAAGGGGCGAAAGCCUGAUCCAUCAAGGCCGGAGAGGUGAUGAAGGCCUUAGGGUUGUAAGGCUCUUUAACCCGGGAUGUUAAGACGGGUCCCGGAGAAAAAGGCCCGGGCAAACUCCGG